RNAcentral lists this ribosomal RNA (254 nucleotides) under uncultured bacterium. RNAcentral describes it as "partial 16S ribosomal RNA". It matches the Rfam family "Bacterial small subunit ribosomal RNA", at positions 524 to 776 of the family's 1533-position model. The record is from RNAcentral.
UACGGGGGGGGGCAAGCGUUGUUCGGAAUUACUGGGCGUAAAGGGCUCGUAGGUGGCCAACUAAGUCGGACGUGAAAUCCCUCGGCUUAACCGGGGAACUGCGUCCGAUACUGGUUGGCUUGAGUUUGGGAGAGGGAUGCGGAAUUCCAGGUGUAGCGGUGAAAUGCGUAGAUAUCAUGAGGAACACCAGAGGCGAAGGCGGCUACCUGGACAGUUACUGACGCUCAGGCACGAAAGCGUGGGGAGCGAACAGG